CCCAACGGGCGUCACUUCCCGUGGAGCCUUCUCUUUCCGGUUGAGCCGGCGGCGGCACGGCGAGCAACGGCGCCUGGCAGUACAGAGAUCGUUUUAACUUUUACAACAAUCCUCUAUCAUCACGUCCGACAAACCAACGAAGGAGCGCUUCGCUAGUACGGCUAUUGCUCGCGCACAGCCGUCGCCUGUUUUAUAAUAAUUAACCCUCGCCCCGAAGAGCGGCGCACGUGGCAGUCCCGUGCGCCGUGGUCGCGACUGGGCAAAAGAGCGGCGCAGAAAUGGACAGCCGUGGUCACUCUACUGCUGGAUGGAGGCCUCCCCCACUCCCUUCUCCCUCCCGCCUGCACACGCAGCCGAUGCCGUCGAUGCGUCUCCUCGGCGAAGAAGUCGCGUCACGCUCCGAAAGGGGGGCAGCUCCUUGAGCAGUUAAGGAAAGCCUGCGUUGCUGAAUACGCCUGCUGUGAUGUAUCCUGUGAGGGGUGUUGGGUUUGCAUUUUGCCCACCACAAGAUCAUCGUGGCCUUGGCAGCCCAGAGUGGAAGAACGCAAAGCUAAAUGAUGAAGGAGAGCGACUGGAUAAUUUGAAGGAGCUGCACACAGGGAGAUGAGUUCCCAUGAGCCGCUUGGUGAAUUUGUACCGGCUGAACCUGGCAUGGGGUCUUGAGUCCUCUGAAGCCAGGUGGAGCUUGCAAGGAUGAAGGAGAGCCACCGGAGGAUUUGAAGGAGCUCCACACAGAGCGCGGAGUUCCCAUGAGCCGCUUGGUGAAUUUGUACCGGCUGAAUCUGGCACCUGAUCUUGAGUCCUCUGAAGCCAGGUGGACCUUGCAAGGAUGAAGGAGAGCGGCUGGAGGAUUUGAAGGAGCUCCACACAGGGAGAGGAGUUCCCAUGAGCCACUUGGUGAAUUUGUACCUGCUGAACCUGAAAUGUGAUCUUCAGUCCUCUGAAACUUUGCAAGGAGAGGCACCGGAGGAUUUGAAGGGGCUCCACACAGAGCGAAGAGUUCCCACGAGCCGCUGGGUGAAUUUGUACCGGCUGAACCUGGCAUGGGGUCUUGAGUCCUCUGAAGCCAGGUGGAGCUUGCUGCAUGGUGAGGCAUGGGCGAUUCAGAGUGAGCACUGCGGAGCGUUGAGCACCACUGGCACGACAAUGAUGACUCUUAAGCCGUUUACCCAAUUGAAGGCCGUUGAAGUGGCCGUGAAACCGCUUUACUUGAACUGAGGUCCCAGUGUGCGAGCCCGAGUGUCGUUUUUCUAAAAAUCCUUUAGUCAUCACUUCAAUCACCUCUGUCCCUGUUCAAAAUACCAUUGGGUGGUUCUCAUGUCUUGUUAAUUGUCACAUGCCUGUGGUGGAAGUUCCACAUUUCUAUGCAGGGGGUGGACAUUUAGUGAUGAGUUCACGUGCAGAAGUUAGAUGCAUGGUAGCAGCAUUGGACCCUGAAAGAUUUUCAUGCACCUCCAAUUAGGACGGUUGGCUACGUACGGUGCAAAAUAAGUUUAACAUACAAAGAUGCCGACAGUGUGCGGAGGCCUUCCAGCACUUGCUGAUAUGUUUGGAUAACGUAGGGUAAUCUGCCUUGGUUAGUGUUGAACUUUACAGUGAUUUAACAAUUACAAAUAUUAAACUUAACAGAGGUGGUUGGGACGUAUGACAUAAUUCUUCACAUUUGUCAUCGAAACCAACCUCCAUAAUGAUUACCUUGAUGACGCUAUUUAGCAGUAGGAGAAUAUGGUUAUCGAACACAAUGAUGAGUACAGGCUUGAUUGAUUGCUUGUUGCCCAUCAGGAUGAAGGAGAGUGACCGGAUGAUUUGAAGGAACUCCACACAGAGCAAGGAGUUCCCAUGAAGCCGUCUUCUGAAACUUUGCAAGGAUGGAGAGCGACCGGAGAAUUUGAAGGAGCUCCGCACAGCGAAGGAGUUCCCAUGAGCCGGUGAGCGCUGUUCAGAGGCACGAGGUGGGGACGCUGGGAUUGUUUACAAGCUUGGUGAAUUUGUACCGGCUGAACCUGGCAUGGGGUCUUGAGGACGAGGAAUCCUCUGAAGCCCGGUGGACCUUUCAAGUUCAUUGCCUGACCACAUCGGCCAAGUCCAGGCAGUAGCCAGAGUUUGGGUAGCAAGGCCAAUGGCAUCGCACCACGCGGACGCAGGAGAUGGCGCCGCCCCGCUUCCCACCAGCGACGCGGCCCACCGAGCGCCACCCCACGACUCGCGCUCGACUGGACCGUCUCAAGCCGACUCGGAUGCCGCUCCGACAAACGAGGUUGCCGCAGACGACGCGUCGGCGAAGCGAUGGCCACGGAAAGCGCGUCGGCCAGGGCCGUGGGGUUGCCAGGCGGCGGCAGCAGCAGCGAAGGCGCCGACGGGGGAAGCGUGUGCGGACGGUGCUUGGGAGGAAUUUGCCAGAUCGACGCCAAGUCCCGGACGCGGGUGGCUCACGGGAACGUGCGAGCGCUCGACGAGGAAGACAAGGUGGUGACACUGGUCGGCCAGCUGAGGCGCUACAACGUCAUGAUCUGCGGGGUCUGCAACACAAAACUGGCCGACUCGGGCAGCACUGAGAUAGAGGAUUACACCCUCUGGUGCAGCGGGUCCAAGGAUGGACGGCUCCAGCUCGGGGUCGGCAUUGCCGUCAGCAAUCGAAUGGAGAAGCACGUAAGCAAGUUCGAGCUGGUGGACGAGCGGAUCGUCUUGCUGAGGUUGAAAUUCAAGGUGUGCAACGUGACGGUCAUCGAGGCCUACGCGCCGAGCGAGCCUGCGAAGGAGGACUCCAGGAAGCGGUUCUACAACAAGCUGCAGGAGAUCUUGGAGUCGGUGCCCAAGCACGACGUCCUCCUGCUCCUCGGAGACUUUGGCGCGCAGGUGGGCACCAACUAUGAUUACUGGGGGGCACGUCCUGGGCCCGCACGGGAUGGGGCCCGAGGAUGCCAACGGAGUGCGUCUGCUCGAGUUCUGCAGCGGCAAUAAGCUCGUCGUCUGCAACACGCAGUUCCAGCAGAAGAACUCCCACGAGGCCACGUGGGUGUCGCCAGAGGACCAGAGGGAGAAGAUCGUUGAUUUUGUCAUCACCAGGGAGCAGCACGCAACGUCCGUUCUGGACGUCCGGCCGUACAGGUCCGCGGACAUCGGCUCGGACCACAAUCUCGUCUUGGCCGAGGUGAGGGUGAAGCUGUUUGGUAAGCGGCACAAGAAUGCGGGCAGGUACUCCAAUGUCCCCAAGUGGAAGGUUCCCAAGACGUGGCGGUACAACUACUGACGUGCUUUGGGGCAAUGAUAGAGGUUGCCGAGGCGUCUUUAAAUCCCAACGCUACAGUGUUGGUGUUGCAUGCAAUUUGGGCUCCCUCGUUACUGGGAAGCAUUGUUUUAGGAGGACGUGGCUUGCUGAUGAAGCUCGCUGAGGUUGAAACAAAGUCGGAAGUUGCCGUGUGAAUUAUUUGCCACCAAGACAUUUGGAACAACGUGUUCCAAAUGUAUGGGUACUCGUUGGCCGAUGAAUAAAAAUGUUGCACCCUGCCGACAAUUGAACACUAACCCUUUUUGCCGGUUGUACGUGUUGUUUACUUUGAAAAGUGUUAUUUAUUAAAGAUUAUAUUGUAAAAUGUUUUGUAUGUGUGAAAGUAAAUAUGGAGUACCACAAUUA
Molecule: non-coding RNA, 3634 nt
Organism: Petromyzon marinus (sea lamprey)
Lineage: Eukaryota; Metazoa; Chordata; Hyperoartia; Petromyzontiformes; Petromyzontidae
Source: RefSeq, a predicted model, not a curated record